RNAcentral lists this ribosomal RNA (440 nucleotides) under uncultured bacterium. RNAcentral's name for it is "partial 16S ribosomal RNA". It matches the Rfam family "Bacterial small subunit ribosomal RNA", at positions 338 to 795 of the family's 1533-position model. The record is from RNAcentral.
CCUACGGGGGGCAGCAGUGGGGGAUAUUGCACAAUGGGGGGAACCCUGAUGCAGCGACGCCGCGUGGGUGAAGAAGCGCCUCGGCGCGUAAAGCCCUGUCAGCAGGGAAGAAAAUGACGGUACCUGAAGAAGAAGCCCCGGCUAACUACGUGCCAGCAGCCGCGGGAAUACGUAGGGGGCAAGCGUUAUCCGGAUUUACUGGGUGUAAAGGGGGCGCAGACGGCGAUGCAAGCCAGGAGGGAAAGCCCGGGGCCCAACCCCGGGACUGCUCUUGGAACUGCGUGGCUGGAGUGCAGGAGGGGCAGGCGGAAUUCCUGGUGUAGCGGUGAAAUGCGUAGAUAUCAGGAGGAACACCAGUGGCGAAGGCGGCCUACUGGGCUUUAACUGACGCUGAGGCACGAAAGCGUGGGUAGCAAACAGGAUUAGAUACCCUAGUAGUC